CACUCCAUCUCCUACUCUCUCUCUCUCUAAAAUCGUUCAAACCAAAACACCCUACAACACUUUCAUUUCAAUCUUCAAAAACUCAAGAAUUCAUACACUUAUGGAGGUCCAUGGAUGAAACUAGCUACAAGGGUGUUUAGAAAAGCUAUUAGGAGCCUUUUUGGUGAAACUUGAAGCUUUGGAUCAACAAGAUUUUUCUUAUCUUCAUCCUUAUUUCCUAGCAAAAAUUGUCGAGAAACGAACCGCGAACAAGGAAUCGAAUAGAGAUUUGCACGGAACGCAAAUCUGAGAUUAGUGGACGGCUUUGGAAAAAUAUGUUCA
Helianthus annuus (common sunflower) is the source of this 321-nucleotide long non-coding RNA. RefSeq lists it as uncharacterized. The record is from RefSeq and is a predicted model, not a curated record. Lineage: Eukaryota; Viridiplantae; Streptophyta; Magnoliopsida; Asterales; Asteraceae. The transcript is spliced from 3 exons.